CCUACGGGAGGCAGCAGUGAGGAAUAUUGGUCAAUGGUCGGGAGACUGAACCAGCCAAGCCGCGUGAGGGAUGAAGGUACAGAGUAUUGUAAACCUCUUUUGUCAGGGAACAAAGGCGGGGACGUGUCCCCGGAUGAGUGUACCUGAAGAAAAAGCAUCGGCUAACUCCGUGCCAGCAGCCGCGGUAAUACGGAGGAUGCGAGCGUUAUCCGGAUUUAUUGGGUUUAAAGGGUGCGCAGGCGGUCUGUUAAGUCAGCGGUCAAAGCCCGGGGCUCAACCCCGGCCCGCCGUUGAAACUGGCAGUCUCGAGUUGGAGAGAAGUAUGCGGAAUGCGCGGUGUAGCGGUGAAAUGCAUAGAUAUCGCGCAGAACUCCGAUUGCGAAGGCAGCAUGCCGGCUCCACACUGACGCUGAGGCGCGAAAGCGUGGGUAUCGAACAGGAUUAGAUACCCUAGUAGUC
Molecule: ribosomal RNA, 459 nt
Filed under: uncultured bacterium
Lineage: Bacteria
Description: partial 16S ribosomal RNA
Rfam family: Bacterial small subunit ribosomal RNA
Source: RNAcentral